CAGCCGCCACGGUAAUACAGAGGGUGCAAGCGUUAAUCGGAAUUACUGGGCGUAAAGCGCGCGUAGGUGGUUUGUUAAGUUGGAUGUGAAAUCCCCGGGCUCAACCUGGGAACUGCAUCCAAAACUGGCAAGCUAGAGUAUGGUAGAGGGUGGUGGAAUUUCCUGUGUAGCGGUGAAAUGCGUAGAUAUAGGAAGGAACACCAGUGGCGAAGGCGACCACCUGGACUGAUACUGACACUGAGGUGCGAAAGCGUGGGGAGCAAACAGGAUUAGAUACCCGUGUAGUCCCUGUCUCUUAUAC
RNAcentral lists this ribosomal RNA (301 nucleotides) under uncultured bacterium. RNAcentral's name for it is "partial 16S ribosomal RNA". It matches the Rfam family "Bacterial small subunit ribosomal RNA", at positions 509 to 807 of the family's 1533-position model. The record is from RNAcentral.